Molecule: non-coding RNA, 204 nt
Filed under: Enterococcus sp.
Lineage: Bacteria; Bacillati; Bacillota; Bacilli; Lactobacillales; Enterococcaceae
Description: T-box sequence
Rfam family: T-box leader
About the family: Uncharged tRNA acts as the effector for transcription antitermination of genes in the T-box leader family. T-boxes are found upstream of many aminoacyl-tRNA synthetase genes and some amino acid biosynthetic genes usually in Gram-positive bacteria. The anticodon of a specific tRNA base pairs to a specifier sequence within the T-box motif, and the NCCA acceptor tail of the tRNA base pairs to a conserved bulge in the T-box antiterminator hairpin.
Source: RNAcentral
AAAUAGACAGGGAAUAAAACGAAGUAGUGACGAAGCCAAUGUUUCAGGAAGCUAGUGGAUGCUGCGAACUAGUACAAGCUUUUGCAUGAAUUACAUUUUAGGAGUCUAUGGCACACAGCCACGCGACAGCGUUACAUGUUUGAGUGAUAUGUUUUUUAGGAAACAUAUAAACUGGGUGGUACCGCGAGUAAAUUCGUCCCUUGA